Molecule: ribosomal RNA, 443 nt
Filed under: uncultured bacterium
Lineage: Bacteria
Description: partial 16S ribosomal RNA
Rfam family: Bacterial small subunit ribosomal RNA
Source: RNAcentral
CCUACGGGAGGCAGCAGUGGGGAAUAUUGGGCAAUGGGCGCAAGCCUGACCCAGCAACGCCGCGUGAAGGAAGAAGGCUUUCGGGUUGUAAACUUCUUUUGUCAGGGACGACGCAAGUGACGGUACCUGACGAAUAAGCCACGGCUAACUACGUGCCAGCAGCCGCGGUACUACGUAGGUGGCAAGCAUUAUCCGGAUUUACUGGGUGUAAAGGGCGUGUAGGCGGGACUGCAAGUCAGAUGUGAAAACCACGGGCUCAACCUGUGGCCUGCAUUUGAACCUGUAGGUCUGGAGUACUGGAGAGGCAGAAGGAAUGCCGAGUGUAGCGGUGAAAUGCGUAGAGAUUAGGAGGAACACCAGUGGCGAAGGCGGUCUGCUGGACAGCAACUGACGCUGAGGCGCGAAAGCGUGGGGAGCAAACAGGAUUAGAUACCCCUGUAGUC